AAUUCACUGAUAACUCGUUGUUCAUGGAGCAUUACGUUUGGAGCUUCCUUCAAGAUUCUGAAUUUGGAUCUAGUUAGGAUCUUUUGAGCUGAACGCUAUGCAUGACAUGGCUUUUGAGAUAGGACAGCUAUUGAUUACUACUCAAUCAAAGAAGCAAACCAUGGUGCUUAACGUCGUUAAAAAGGGACUGCAAGUUGCAGGCAUAACUAGUAGUGAUGUUGGAGGCAUAACUGGUAUUGGUGAUGGUGAAUCAAGAUCUAACUGUAGCAUUAUGUGAAAGAAACCAAUGAUGCAUUUUAUCACCAGUCAAAUGCAUCCAAUCGUACAAUAAAUAUCUCCGAUGAGCUAAGAGGAAAUGACUGAAAAUUUACUGGAAACUCUUCAAGUGGGCUCUGAUCCAGUAGAGAAUAAACUCAAGUUGCUUUGUAUUGCUGUGUGUCUUUUCUGUGGCAAUAAUUGUAUUCUCAUGCAUUCGAUCUCCAUAGUCUCAUGUGUACUUUUGGAGGGCAUUGAGAACUUGUUUAAUCUUAAGCUGCUUUUGUGUAAAAUCAUGUAGUUAAUGAAGCUUUUCUAGUAAAAUCAUUGAGCACCA
Molecule: long non-coding RNA, 592 nt
Organism: Populus euphratica (Euphrates poplar)
Lineage: Eukaryota; Viridiplantae; Streptophyta; Magnoliopsida; Malpighiales; Salicaceae
Exons: 2
Source: RefSeq, a predicted model, not a curated record